UGUUGUGCAGAAAAGUUGUUUCGCUUCUAUCGUCAUGCCUGUAAUGGAAUUGCUUGCUGCUGAAAUGAUAUAAUAGAUGUUGCAGCUCCACCACCAGAAGCCUUGACUAGAAUCUUUAAGUCUGAUCAAGAAGUAGCAACUGUCGAUAAGACAAUGCAAGUCAGGAACCUUUUAGUUGAGGAAACUGCAGAUGAGCCUGCAAUGGAAUUGGUACCAGGACUAGCUCCCAUUUCUUCUACAUUCGAAGACCAAGAUUCUGCUGCCUUAGUACAACCUACUACACCUCCUUUAACCAUGGUGUAGAUUCCUCCCCUCCCAGAUAAUUCUGCGGAAUCUCAUUACAGCAUCUUUGCCAACUUCUCCACCAGAUAUUUCCAGCCACAACCAUCUGUUCAAGCUUCUGCCAGAAGCCUUGCUCGCUCUGUACCUUCAACCCAUCUAGAGAGUGAGGUAAUUCAUUUCCUCUCAUAUCUUGAUCAAGAAAUAUGCUUUCACUUCUAUAAGCAUUCAUUCUCAACUACAGGUGAUGCAAGGAUCAUCUUUGCAAAACAUGAGAAUAUGCUUGAUGAUUCUCUUGAGGCUCUGCCAGGGUGUUCACAGCAGCCAACAGUAAGUAGUCAUGAGAUCAGUGUCGCGCAAGAGUUUAUUCGUCGCUGCUGCCUCAUGGGAUUUGAGCAUCUCUCUGUCAAGAUCAAAGGGAUAAGUUUCUUGCAUUUGUUGAUGAGCAUUGACAACUUCAACUUCAACAGAAAAUGAAUGUAUUGCUUCUUUAGAGGAACAAGCCAGGAGUCUUGCAGUAUCCGGAAAAGCUAAUUGACAAGAGUUCAACUUCAGAUCUUAUGCAGUAUUACAUGAUGCAUUACUUUGGCAUUAGAAUCUUGAGAUUCUACUCUUAAGAAUUUAAUGCUUUCUUUUACAAUAGAAACCUUUUUUAUUAGUUAGUAUAUUUGUGAUUUGGAGAAUA
Long non-coding RNA from Pistacia vera, 964 nucleotides. RefSeq lists it as uncharacterized. The transcript has 4 exons. The record is from RefSeq and is a predicted model, not a curated record. Lineage: Eukaryota; Viridiplantae; Streptophyta; Magnoliopsida; Sapindales; Anacardiaceae.